UUCGCAAUGCCCGAAAGGGUGACGAAGCGACGCCGCGUGCGGGAAGAAGGCCUUCGGGUUGUAAACCGCUGUCGGGAGUUAAGAAAUGCAAGGGUGUUAACAGCGUCCUUGCUUGACUAAGGCUCCGGAGGAAGCCACGGCUAACUCUGUGCCAGCAGCCGCGGUAAUACAGAGGCGGCAAGCGUUGUUCGGAAUUAUUGGGCGUAAAGAGCACGUAGGCGGCUGUGUAAGUCGGUUGUGAAAGCCUUCCGCUCAACGGGAGAACGGCAUCCGAUACUGCAUGGCUUGAGUGCGGGAGGGGAGAGUGGAACUUCUGGUGGAGCGGUGAAAUGCGUAGAUAUCAGAAGGAACGCCGGCGGCGAAAGCGACUCUCUGGCCCGAAACUGACGCUGAGUGUGCGAAAGCUAGGGGAGCAAACGGGAUUAGAUACCCCGGUAGUCCUAACUGUAAACGAUGGGCACUAAGUAGAGGGGUUUU
RNAcentral lists this ribosomal RNA (477 nucleotides) under uncultured anaerobic ammonium-oxidizing bacterium. RNAcentral's name for it is "bacterial SSU rRNA". It matches the Rfam family "Bacterial small subunit ribosomal RNA", at positions 365 to 832 of the family's 1533-position model. The record is from RNAcentral.